GGUACGAAAAAUUAAAGACGAGCUCUUGAACAAACAUCGUUGUCUGUUAAGUAAAAAUACAUUUUUGGCUGUGUACACUGUAAAUAUUAUUUGAAGGCUAGACCGAUCUGUUCUAUGAUAUUUAUAAGUGGACAACUAUAUUGUUCACUUUUGUUUACUAUAUAUUGUCUACCAUGUCUUGUAUAGUUUAGUAUCCAGCUUCUUACGUGAACCAUGUUAACCUAUCAUACGUCGUCGGAUACUCAGUGUGUCAGGAUCAUCUGGUCUCUGGCCUCCAAUGCAGUAUAAUACUUAACUUGUUUGUACCUUGGAUGGGGGAUGGGAACGAUAAAUCGAUUUGUAGGACAACUUGUGGAAAGUAGUGACUCGAUUAUAAUUACUGACAUAUAUUUUCCAGUAUAAGAAGUAAUUGGCGUUAGAUAAUUUUUCGAAUUUUUCCAUUUACAAUUUGCACAAUAUUUCACGUAUAUUUAAAGUCGUGUUAGAUUUUAUUUUUUAUGGAAAAAAAAGAAACAUUCAUACUAAGAAAAACACAGUAACAUAAACUUGACUAUAUUCUCUAAUGAAUUUCCUAAAAGUGUCAUAAAAUAUUUGUAAAAUUAUGUCAGAAUAACAAGAAAUUAUCAGGAACGACAUUGACAUCUAUAUCGUAAGUGUAUUUUAUUUUUUUUUUCAAAAAAUAUUUUCAAAUUCGUCAACUCGAACCAAACUCGCUUUAAAGUACCUUCCAGAUAUCAGUACAUUACGAAUAAUCAAUAAUCGCCAAGAUAAUGCAGCAAGAACAAUACCGGAAGUUCCACGUAGCAUCCAUCGACCCCGCUUUGACCGGCAGGAAGUCGUCCGGGACCGGUCGUCAGCCGCACCAGUUUCCUUCUUCCUUUUUAUCGUUAGUCCUUUUUUUAUCGACCGUGAGUUGCCCCCCCACCACCAACCGUCAAACAAAUUUCAUCAAUGGCUAUCUAUCAACUAUUCACUCAAGUUCGGAUAAGAGUGAUCGAAGUCUCGCUCUUUCACCCAUGAUAACGGAAACAAGGAUCGCGUUUCUUAGACAGUAAGUCUGCUGUUAUUAUCAAUCCCGUCGAACUCGUUUUUAACGAGCUUGUUAUUAAUAGCUCUUGCCAUCUCGUAACUGUGUUACGUUUUAUUGUCUUUCUUUUUUUUUGCUCGCCCCUUUCAUUUUAUAUUCCCGCAUCUGGCAUUCAAGACGGAUUUUAAUUACGCCAUUGUGAAUUCAUUCGAUAAUUUCGAGUCUUCCGCUUGAUUCAAUUGUCUAUAAAAGUUUUGGCUGUGUCAUACGAGGAAGGUCUGCCGCCUUUUUUCGUAUUCCAGGAAACGAAAGAGGCGUUGUCGCCUACAUGAAAAUGCUAUACGGACCUAAUACGUCAGAGCGUGGUAAAGUGCACGUGAGUUUUCACGAAAACGUUUUUUCGUGCUGCAUCGCAAUACACGCUGAUUCAGCACAGAGACAAUAAUAAGAACGUCCGAGCUUUACGUAUUUUCCCGAAGUAUUUUCCGCGUAAAUAAAAUAAGAAGUAAGAAAUAAAGGAAAACAAAAAAUCGAAAUUCGACGAUCGGAGGAGAAGGGACGCCAGAGAGUGACUGUAAAAGUAAAAAUUCAUAAUUACGAACGUCAAGACCAGAAGCAAUGAACCAACGGAAAGUGAAGAGUUACGGGCGACCGUUGGUAAUGUACACAAAAUUCAAAAUUUACGAACACACAUUGUCACGUUAAAAUGUACCUAUGGUGCAUUCUGGGUCUCGUAUACCAGGUCAAUAAUACUUGCGAUAGUAAAUGUCAAGAAAGUCCGUAGGAGUUUCGCAGAAUAGGCGGACAUUUACGAUCCCGCGUCUCCGGUCGUUGCAUCCUGGUUUGCUGCAGGGGUGGCAAGACUCGCCUUCAUGGCAUCGUGGCCGUGGGCGCGAGCAUUCUCCAAAAUAGUACAACCCUUGGUGACUCAGGUCGCCUAUUAUCCACUCUGAGUCAACUGACGCCUCCGUUAUAAUUUCUCGUAGGAUUAAAAGAAGCCUCCCUAACCCCCAAAACAAAUUGUAUCGGGUAGACAGGUAUUGUUAUUUUGUGAAAUUUUCAAAGAGUGAAUCUACGGAUAUAAAUAUUGUCCUUUGUUUGUCUGCAAUUGAAGAAAUAAAAUUUUAUAUGAUAAA
Cephus cinctus (wheat stem sawfly) is the source of this 2163-nucleotide long non-coding RNA. RefSeq lists it as uncharacterized. The record is from RefSeq and is a predicted model, not a curated record. NCBI's taxonomy places the organism in Eukaryota, Metazoa, Arthropoda, Insecta, Hymenoptera, Cephidae. The transcript has 3 exons.